RNAcentral lists this ribosomal RNA (415 nucleotides) under Euastacus dangadi. RNAcentral's name for it is "eukaryotic LSU rRNA". It matches the Rfam family "Eukaryotic large subunit ribosomal RNA", at positions 1211 to 1582 of the family's 3401-position model. Lineage: Eukaryota; Metazoa; Arthropoda; Malacostraca; Decapoda; Parastacidae. The record is from RNAcentral.
CCAUCGAAAGGUGUUGGUUGNUAUAGACAGCAGGACGGUGGCCAUGGAAGUUGGAACCCGCUAAGGAGUGUGUAACAACUCACCUGCCGAAGCAACUAGCCCUUAAAAUGGUAUGGCGCUGAAGCAUUCUCCCGAUACUCGACCGCCGGGUGGGCUGUCGGCACCGACCUCGUCCCAGAGGCGAUGAUGCCUCGGAGCCCCGGUGAGUAAGAGGGUCGCAGUGGUGAGCGCUGAAGGGAUCCGGCGUGAGCUGGCCUGGAGCCGCCACUGCUGCAGAUCUUGGUGGUAGUAGCAAAUACUCGAGAGAGAGACUCCCUCGAAGACCGAUGUGGAGAAGGGUUCCAUGUGAACAUCAGUUGGACAUGGGUUAGUCGCUCCUAAGCCCAAGGCUAAGGCCUGAUCCCAUGCUAGCGGC